GUGAAAAUGUAUGUCUGUGAGGAAGGAGGGAACAUUAUGCUAGCGCAGUGUCGAGGACAUUCUGGGAACAUUGUGCUUCUGCGGAGUAAAAGCUCAGCAGGGGCUCGUAAGAAGUCGUGAUCUCCUGCUUUUAAUAAUAGCUCUCGGCUCGUGACCAGCGGAUGCCCAACUGUGGCGCGUAAUUUUCGCGCCCUCAUUGUGCCGGCGUCUGUUAUUCGCGCUCUUUGUAAGUGACCGUUAUUAGCGUCGACUAAAGGGCUCCUAAAUUAGUUCCUGUUUAAAUUAGAAACCAUCUAUCAAACAAGGUCCGAGCGAUCGAGGGAUGUCCAGCACAUUAUGCUUUUCACGUUUUGUUCCAAUGAAGUAAAACAGGGGUUGGGCACCAGCCGGCAGUUAUCUGGUCCAGGAGGCAGUGUGUCGGGAAUGCCGUCAUUGUCAUCAUCAUCGUCACAUUCGUCUCCCAGUCCGUCUUUAUCUGUGUCCAGCUGGGAGCUGUUGAUUACCAG
This is a long non-coding RNA of Labeo rohita (rohu), 506 nucleotides long. RefSeq lists it as uncharacterized. NCBI's taxonomy places the organism in Eukaryota, Metazoa, Chordata, Actinopteri, Cypriniformes, Cyprinidae. The transcript has 3 exons. The record is from RefSeq and is a predicted model, not a curated record.